RNAcentral lists this ribosomal RNA (380 nucleotides) under uncultured eukaryote. RNAcentral's name for it is "partial 18S ribosomal RNA". It matches the Rfam family "Eukaryotic small subunit ribosomal RNA", at positions 592 to 976 of the family's 1831-position model. The record is from RNAcentral.
CAAUAGCGUAUAUUAAAGUUGUUGCAGUUAGAACGCUCGUAGUCGGAUUUCGGGGCGGGCCGACCGGUCUGCCGAUGGGUACGCACUGGUCGGCGCGUCCUUCCUUCCGGAGACCGUGCCUACUCUUAACUGAGCGGGGGCGGGAGACGGAAUUUUUACUUUGAAAAAAUCAGAGUGUUUCAAGCAGGCAGCUCGCUCUUGCAUGGAUUAGCAUGGGAUAAUGAAAUAGGACUUUGGUGCUAUUUUGUUGGUUUCGAACACCGAAGUAAUGAUGAGAAGGGACAGUCAGGGGCACUCGUAUUCCGCCGAGAGAGGUGAAAUUCUCAGACCAGCGGAAGACGAACCACUGCGAAAGCAUUUGCCAGGGAUGUUUNCACUGA